RNAcentral lists this ribosomal RNA (429 nucleotides) under Chloroflexota bacterium. Its description in RNAcentral is "Chloroflexi bacterium partial 16S ribosomal RNA". It matches the Rfam family "Bacterial small subunit ribosomal RNA", at positions 355 to 776 of the family's 1533-position model. Lineage: Bacteria; Bacillati; Chloroflexota. The record is from RNAcentral.
UGGGGAAUAUUGCACAAUGGGCGCAAGCCUGAUGCAGCCAUGCCGCGUGUGUGAAGAAGGCCUUCGGGUUGUAAAGCACUUUCAGCGGGGAGGAAGGCGAUAAGGUUAAUAACCUUGUCGAUUGACGUUACCCGCAGAAGAAGCACCGGCUAACUCCGUGCCAGCAGCCGCGGUAAUACGGAGGGUGCAAGCGUUAAUCGGAAUUACUGGGCGUAAAGCGCACGCAGGCGGUCUGUCAAGUCGGAUGUGAAAUCCCCGGGCUCAACCUGGGAACUGCAUUCGAAACUGGCAGGCUAGAGUCUUGUAGAGGGGGGUAGAAUUCCAGGUGUAGCGGUGAAAUGCGUAGAGAUCUGGAGGAAUACCGGUGGCGAAGGCGGCCCCCUGGAUAAAGACUGACGCUCAGGUGCGAAAGCGUGGGGAGCAAACAGG